AGUAUUUGCUUGUUCAGAAGACUAAGCCAUGCAUGUAUAAGUUCACACCUUAAUACGGUGAAACCGCGAAUGGCUCAUUAAAUCAGCUAUUAUUUAUUAGAUCUUACAAGAUUACUUGGAUAACUGUAGUAAUUCUAGAGCUAAUACAUGAAUAUGUGCUUUGGUUCACSCCAAAUGCGAAUUUAUUAGAUCAAAACCAACCGGUUUCGGNCCGUUAAAUUGGUGACUCUGGAUAACUAUUCUGAUCGCAUGACCUUGUGUCGGCGACGUAUCUUUCAAGUGUCUGCCCUAUCAACUUAAGUUGGUGAGUUAGUUGCUCACCAUGGUUAUAACGGGUAACGGAGAAUCAGUGUUCGAUACCGGAGAGGGAGCCUUAGAAACGGCUACCACAUCUAAGGAAGGCAGCAGGCGCGCAAAUUACCCACUCUCAGAACGAGGAGGUAGUGAAUUUAAAUAGCGAUGAUGAACUCUUAUGAGGCUCGUCAAUCGAAAUGAGUACAAUUUAAAUCCUUUAACGAGUACCAAUUGGAGGGCAAGUCUGGUGCCAGCAGCCGCGGUAAUUCCAGCUCCAAUAGCGAAUAUUAAAUUUGUUGCAGUUAAAAAGCUCGUAGUUGGAUCCAAGGUUAGGCAUGCCUGUCUGUUCUUAGUAGCAUGACUGUGUGUGUCUGCCUUUAUUAGUUGAAUGUUCAUUAUGGUGGUCUUCAUCGACUGCUAUGAUGUGCUCAACACGUUUACCUUGAAAAAAUCAGAGCGAUCAAGGCAGGCCUUCGUGCUUGUAUGUUGUUGCAAGGAAUAAUAGAAUAGGACUUCGGUUCUAUUUUGUUGGUUUUGAGAAUUGAAGUAAUGAACAAUAGAGACAGUCGGGGGCAUUUGUAUGGUGGCDUUAGAGGUGAAAUUCUGAGAUCGUCGCCAGACAAACUACUGCGAAAGCAUUUGCCAAGGAUGUCUUCAUUAAUCAAGAACGAAWGUCAGAGGUUCGAAGACGAUCAGAUACCGUCCUAGUUCUGACCAUAAACGAUGCCGACCUACAAUCGGGGGUGGUUUAUUAUAUUGACCCUCCCGGCUGUCCUCAGGAAACUUUAAGUUGGUUCUGGGGGGAAUAUGGUCUCAAGACUGAAACUUAAAGGAAUUGACGGAAGGGCACCACCAGGAGUGGGCBBCGGCUUAAUUUGACUCAACACGGGGAAUCUCACCCGGUCCGGACACUGGUAGGAUGGACAGAUUGAUAGCUCUUUCUUGAUUCAGUGGGUGGUGGUGCAUGGCCGUUCUUAGUUGGUGGAGUGAUUUGUCUGGUUAAUUCCGAUAACGAACGAGACUCUGUCCUGCUAAAUAGUCCAGUGGCAUCAAUCACUAUGUGAUUACAGCUGCUGUUACUUCUUAGAGGGAUUCGCGGAUUUAAACCGCAAGAAAUAGAGCAAUAACAGGUCUGUGAUGCCCUUAGAUGUCCGGGGSCSCACGCGCGCUACAUUGACAGUAGAAGCGAGUAUUUCUACCUGGUUCGAAAGAAUUGGGAAAUCUUCGAAUUACUGUCUCCACAGGGAUUGAGGUUUGCAAUUUUGCCUCAUGAACGAGGAAUUCCCAGUAGGCGCAAGUCAUCAGCUUGCGUCGAUUACGUCCCUGCCCUUUGUACACACCGCCCGUCGCUACUACCGAUUGAGUGCAUUAGUGAGGACCUCGGAUWGAGAACAUAGUGGCGCAAGUUACUUUGUUUUCGAAAAGUGGUUCAAAUUUGUGCAUUWAGAGAUAGUBAAAGUCGUAACAAGGUUUCCGUAGUGAACCUGCAGAUG
This 1787-nucleotide ribosomal RNA is filed under the name Trigonostomum penicillatum. RNAcentral describes it as "SSU rRNA". It matches the Rfam family "Eukaryotic small subunit ribosomal RNA". The record is from RNAcentral. Lineage: Eukaryota; Metazoa; Platyhelminthes; Rhabdocoela; Trigonostomidae.